RNAcentral lists this ribosomal RNA (421 nucleotides) under uncultured eukaryote. RNAcentral's name for it is "SSU rRNA". It matches the Rfam family "Eukaryotic small subunit ribosomal RNA", at positions 592 to 1018 of the family's 1831-position model. The record is from RNAcentral.
CAAUAGCGUAUAUUAAAGUUGUUGCGGUUAAAAGCUCGUAGUUGGAUUUCUGCUUGAAGCGACCGGUCCACACUAUGUGUUGGUAUCUGGCGAGCUUUGGGCAUCCUCCUGGAGAACGUGUUUCUGCACUUGAUUGUGUGGCGCGGAAUCUGGGACUUUUACUUUGAGGAAAUUAGAGUGUUCACUGCAGGCUUGUCCUGAAUACAUUAGCAUGGAAUAAUCAUAUAGGACCUCGGUUCUAUUUUGUCGGUUUCUAGAGCUGAGGUAAUGAUUAACAGGGAUAGUUGGGGGCAUUCGUAUUUAACUGUCAGAGGUGAAAUUCUUGGAUUUGUUAAAGACGAACUACUGCGAAAGCAUUUGCCAAGGAUGUUUUCAUUGAUCAAGAACGAAAGUUAGGGGAUCGAAGACGAUCAGAUACCGU